This 400-nucleotide ribosomal RNA is filed under the name uncultured bacterium. RNAcentral describes it as "bacterial SSU rRNA". It matches the Rfam family "Bacterial small subunit ribosomal RNA", at positions 355 to 747 of the family's 1533-position model. The record is from RNAcentral.
UCGAGAAUCUUUCGCAAUGGACGAAAGUCUGACGAAGCGACGCCGUGUGUGUGAUGAAGGCCUUCGGGUUGUAAAGCACUUUCGCUUGAGAACAAGAAAGACUGGCUAACAUCCAGUCAAUUUGAGGGUAUCAGGUAAAGAAGGACCGGCUAACUCCGUGCCAGCAGCUGCGGUAAUACGGAGGGUCCAAGCGUUAAUCGGAUUUAUUGGGCGUAAAGGGCGCGUAGGCGGAAAAAAAAGUUGGGUGUGAAAUCCCGGGGCUCAACCUCGGACGCGCACUCAAAACUCUUUUUCUAGAGGAUAAGCGGAGUAAAGGGAAUUCCACGUGUAGCGGUGAAAUGCGUAGAUAUGUGGAAGAACACCGGUGGCGAAGGCGCUUUUCUAGCUUAUUCCUGACGCU